Molecule: ribosomal RNA, 253 nt
Filed under: uncultured bacterium
Lineage: Bacteria
Description: partial 16S ribosomal RNA
Rfam family: Bacterial small subunit ribosomal RNA
Source: RNAcentral
UACGUAGGGUGCAAGCGUUAAUCGGAAUUACUGGGCGUAAAGGGCGCGUAGGCGGCCUGUUAAGUCGAACGUGAAAUCCCCGGGCUCAACCCGGGAACUGCGUCCGAUACUGGCAGGCUUGAAUCCGGGAGAGGGAUGCGGAAUUCCAGGUGUAGCGGUGAAAUGCGUAGAUAUCUGGAGGAACACCGGUGGCGAAGGCGGCAUCCUGGAUCGGCAUUGACGCUGAGGCGCGAAAGCCAGGGGAGCAAACGGG